This is a non-coding RNA of Musa acuminata subsp. malaccensis (wild Malaysian banana), 497 nucleotides long. NCBI's taxonomy places the organism in Eukaryota, Viridiplantae, Streptophyta, Magnoliopsida, Zingiberales, Musaceae. The record is from RefSeq and is a predicted model, not a curated record.
GGGAAUUGCUCCUUCAGUUCAUGACCCAAGUAAUUACUACGAUGCUGCUGAUUACUCUCAGGAUCGCCGUAUGGCUAUGCCGUUGCAUCAGUUAUCGAGAUACUAGAGAGAUGGACUGAACCCGGAGGUUUUGCAACACCAUGUGAUCCACUCAAACGCUCAAUCAACUAUCAUCCAUCAAGGAACAAUUAAAAGGUGAGUUCACUUGUUGCGUGCUCCAUUUGCUUUUAGCAGUUGUCUGCAAAUUAUUGAGAUGAUAAAGCAGCCGAGUAUAACAGGACAGAGGAAGACUUUAUGGCUGCGUCUUCUUCUUUCAUUUGUUUACGACCGCACUUGAAUGGGGACAUCUCUGGCACUACAAGUCAAUUGAGUUAAAUGAAGGACAAGUUGCAUACUAAUGAAUGGGACAUCUUUGGUGUCUACGAGUCAAUUUAGUUAAAUGAAAGGACAAGUUGGGGCUUAUUAAUCGCAAAUAAAAUCGUGUAAAUUACCAUAAA